This is a long non-coding RNA of Hemiscyllium ocellatum (epaulette shark), 2648 nucleotides long. RefSeq lists it as uncharacterized. The record is from RefSeq and is a predicted model, not a curated record. Lineage: Eukaryota; Metazoa; Chordata; Chondrichthyes; Orectolobiformes; Hemiscylliidae. The transcript is spliced from 3 exons.
CCGCAGUUUCGACUGGUGUGUGUAUGCGUGUGUGCGUGUGUCUGUGUGUGUCUGUAUGUGUGUGUGUGUCUGCGUGUAUUUUAAAGGUUUCUUUGAACUGCCUUUGUGCUGAGUCGGCGCUGCUUCUUGCCAAUGCAAGUCACGGUCGUACGAACUUUGUGUUAACCUUUUAUGUCGAAUGAAUCUUUUCAUUUGGAAAGCCAUAAAUCUCAUUCCGUAGCUCCUUUUGUGCAGCGCACUACGACUUAGUAAGCCAAGUGUGCGUUCAACAACAACAACAAAAAAAGUAGGAAAACAAAAAAAAAAGUUGCAAGCCGAUAGAAAGUAUAACUUUAAAAGCAAACAAACAAAAUCAGAUUCCAAUGUAAAGUGCGGGACUGGCUGUUCACAGGAGACGUCGUGGAAGCAAUCGAAGUGGAAACGGAGCGCGCACAGUCACAACCUUGAGGAUAUCGAAAGGCCAAACUUCAACUCGAGUCAACAGAUGUGAAGCUGGGAGAGCACAGCAGGUGACACAGCCUCCGAGGAGCAAAAAAAGCAAUGUUUCCGACCGAAACUCUUCUUCAGGGCUCAGUGUUCGUUUUCUCAAAUUAGAAGGAAAUUUGUUCACCAAUUAAUGUCCUGCAAAGUGUCCUCACUCGUCGUUCGAAGCGUCCUGGCACCGAAUGGACGCUGGGGAAGGACUAACCCGUGCUUCUGCCGGUCCUGUAAUCCUGUGGCAUGUGCUGAUGACAUCACAUGAUGUCCAUUGCCGGCAACAUCCAGUUCCCUGCAACUGUCAUUUAAUGUUGCAAGCAAAUGAAAAAUGACUGUGAGACUCACUGGCUCCCAGAAGUGACCUUGAGUAUUAUUAGAAUGACCUCCCAUCGGUUUGACCAGAAGACCUUUGAUAUCUGCAUGAAGAAAAUAUACGAGUGAGAUGCCUCGUCUACAGAUAGAAAGGACAACGAUCAGCGAGAAUAGCACAAAGCUGAAGCUAAGUUGCAGCUCAUUGCUGCCAACAUUAAAAAGUAAUCACCGUACAUAACUUGACUCCCUGCAUCCACUGCUCUAAGAAUUGUAUUUUUUUAUGCAAACCAUUAGAUUUUUGUUUAAGAAACACAUUCAUUUAAAAGGCCCCGGACUUGUACAGGAUGCACACACACAGACACACACACACAUCGAGACAUACAUACACACACACACACACACACAGACACACACACACAUAGAGACAUACAUACACACACACACAGACACACACACAUAGAGACAUACAUACACACACACACACACACACAGACACACACACACAUAGAGACAUACGUAUCGCCCCUGUUAGUUGGAAAUGAAUCUGACAGUCAAUAGAGUUCCAUGCAUCUCAACGGGCAUGCUAUUACCAACGUCGUAAAGCCGUAGCCAGGAAAAAGACUGUAAGGGGAAAUCACAUGUUUUGAGAGGUUAGUUCAUUGAGUAGACCAAAGCUUUUCUUAACCAAAAAUAGGGUAAGCCGAAUUCUGUGAUGUAAUCAGCUGUUCUCCAUUCAAUCACGCAGUCUCUUCCUUCCCUAAACAAACUGUUACUACUCUGUUGCAAUCAGCUCACACACUCUAACCACGUUCCAUGACCAAUACGAUAUCCCGAAAACAAAUUCAUGAGGAUUGAUUACGGGAAGGACGGUUAGCGUUACUGCUCUAUUUUCACACCCCUGCAUCGUCCAUCUAUGCCCGUCAGUCUCCCCUUCCCUUCACAUUUCAUACUAUUUUUAAAAAAAUCUCCCCGCCCGCUUUACCAGAUUCCAAUCUCUUUCUUCAUCUUUAAUUCCCCUUUCCUCAUGCUUCUGGACUUCUUCUUGGUUUCUUUGCCUUAUCCACCAACCGGAAGCGCACCUUACUUUAUUUAUGCCUUUUGAGGGGAUUAAGGAGCCCUCUCCCAUUGUCUGUUCUCCUCCAGCGGUGCACCCUGUUAGUAACAAUGCAAAGUGCUUGUGGUCUUAUGUGAGUUGGUGUUUGUACACAAACGCAGAUACCCCUACCUCCAAAAUGCACCUAUUCGGGAUAUUUGACACCAGCAAAGUUCUCAAUCGCAAGAUGAAUCUGCGAUUGUUCAAAUAAAAACAACCAUUCCGUUGAUUCAGCCAGGGGCUAGCAAUUCCCUAUAACUGGUGUUUACAGUAACAGUAACGCCAGUUCAACACAAUGCAUUUUGGUCCGCACGUAGUUAUAAUUAGCUACAUAUAUGAAGCAAGCAUUGGCAGCAGUAAAGGGUCUCUCUUUCUUCUCCUAUCCCCACCCACCUCUACAUCGGCAUCCUACCUCAUCCCACUCCCAUCCUCCCAUUCCCUCCCUCAAUAUUAGACAAGCUGUUCACUUUCAAUCCAUAUUGAAAUGAAUACGGAUAUUGCCAUGUACAGAUUGCGACCGUGGGAUACUUGAGUUGAGCUAAUGCCUUUUCCCCAAUGUGCAUUCGUCAGUAUGACAAAAUGUUUCCUUUGCAUAUAGAACGGUGCUACAUCGAGAUUGUAGUGUGCUGAAUUACAUGUGUUACAAAGUUGGAAAGAGAGAUCUUUCAAAAGGCAUUAGAUUCAAUCCAAUCAAAUAACAUUGUGAUUUUCUAAGACCUUCUGUGACAAAAUUGAAAUCUUAAUAAAUGAAAACAUCAGAACCGUC